RNA transcript from Oncorhynchus gorbuscha (pink salmon), 1930 nucleotides. It is a transcript of the gene named protein Hook homolog 2-like, with no coding region annotated. The transcript is spliced from 4 exons. NCBI's taxonomy places the organism in Eukaryota, Metazoa, Chordata, Actinopteri, Salmoniformes, Salmonidae. The record is from RefSeq and is a predicted model, not a curated record.
UCUCUCUUUCACACACAACGUUGUGGGGAGUCAGUUCAUAACCACACCACUAGACCAGAGACAUUCAAACAUGAACUUCAAAGGUGUGUAAAGGGUGUGAGAGUUGUACGUUUGUCAGUAAAUACGCCUCAUGUUGACCUCAACACCAGUCCUAUUCCAGAGAAAGUCUAUUCUAUGAUUUUUUGACUCAACCACAUAAUUCUCUGAAGGUUCUGUGUGGUUAUCGCCUAAUGACGGAAACUCAACCAUAACCACACCCCUCACACACGCACACAUUGAAAAGAGCUUGAACUUGAUUAAACCGCCUCUGUGAAGGAAAGGUCAUGGGACGUACGAAACGGUCCCAGGUGGUCAGGGAGAAAGCAUUGGAAACCCCCUACAGUACGAAAGCCAGAGUUUGCAGUAAGAAGAUGUGCAUUUACCUAAACAAAAUAAGUGUUGACCUUUUGGGGCUAGUCAGUGGUUCCAUUGAGCUUACAGGGGGUCGCGGAAAGGCUAAUACGGGCACAGCUUGUCAGGGAGAAAGCAUUGGAAAUCACCUAUAGUGGGAGAUAAAGUUGGCGGACGAUGGGGCCUUUUUACAUGUACGUCAACAAUGAACCUAAUGACGUUGAAUUCCGACGGGGGAAGCUGAUGUAAGGACGUAAACCGCGGCUCUUUUAGGUCAUGUUGGGGACGUUGCAUAAACGAUUCAAACAGAGGGAUCCCUUUUUCACGCCAAGGACCUGACUGAUCUGCACACUCUGUCAUGGGCACAGGGUAAUCUAGGUUGACCUAGAACUAAUUUGACCACAUCCUCAAUAAUGUUAAGUAGUCUGUCCACGAGAGAUUAGGGACAGGGUAGCCAGCCUACAGACUUCUUACCAUCAACAAAUCAUUGGCUUUGUGUGCCAUCACAACUGAGAGAUUUCCCUAUACAUUUCUGGUGAUUUUCGACAUGGCCAUAUUUCAUUCUAUGUACCCGUAUAGUAAAUAGUACAAGAAUACAAGAAUCAUUACCUGUUACUUGAUUGUAUAUUUUACCCAGCAUUGCUUUCUGGUAAGUACGUCUUGGACAAGUAAGGCUUGUUCCCGUGUCAGAACAGCCCAUACAGCAGGAGCCUACCGCCUGUUUCUGUAGCAUGAGACAGCCGGAUGUACAAGUACACCCUCUAAACAGGAUGCUUGCUUUCUGGUGCUUACCUACAAAUCCCCCCUGUGACCGUCUGAAUGUGGACGUUCAAUAUUGAAUGUGCCCUGAUCAGCAGUAAAGCAUCUGUGGCCACAGGGAAGAGCCAGACUACCAAAGCCUACCUCUCCAUUGUCUCUCACUCUGAACAAAACCAGCCAGGGCCUCUCCCCGCCCCCCAUGUGGAUGAGACCGGGCUGAAGCGAGAGCAGAGAGGGGCAGCGCCUGGCUGGAUGUAAGUUAGACGAUGAUGACUGAAGAGGAGACUACUUCCUGUGAUGUCAUCAUGACAGCUGUCAAAGAAGACUCACAUGAGAGGAUCAUGUCCAGACAAGACCAAGAGGAAAAGCUCACUAUUACAGACUGGUACAGUAUGUUUCUAUGCAUCCCCUCUAGUGUGUGACUCUCCAGCAGCAGGAGCUGAGGCUGUCUGAGGGCUCUUGUAGGCCUCCAGGCCAAGCCCAGUCCUUCCUGGCCCAGCAGAGGCAGUCCACCCAGGCCAGGAGCAGGAGAGGCAUGGUGCUCUCUCCCAAGCUACAGCCCAGAUAGGAGGGAGAGAUGGAGGGAGAGGUCCCUCUGUUGAGGGUGGUGGGAUUGACACUGGAUGGACAAGGAACGUUGGAAGAGGAUGUUGAUGGGAUUUUUGUGGCUGUUUAAAAAAACAUUGAAUGUUAAAAAAAAACUAUUUUAUGUAACAUUGGCGCCACCUGCUGGUCAAAUGGUAUUUGUGAUUUUUGCGCUUGGAAUAAAAUAUCAACAUGA